Molecule: long non-coding RNA, 229 nt
Filed under: Ananas comosus (pineapple)
Lineage: Eukaryota; Viridiplantae; Streptophyta; Magnoliopsida; Poales; Bromeliaceae
Description: long non-coding RNA (ACOM_LNC024633)
Source: RNAcentral
AGAUAUCACACUAGAAGAAAGGGUGUUAGAAAUAUUCUUCGACCAUUUUUAAGGAAAUCAAUUUGGUCUAUAAUAUGUUUCAGAGCAUAUGUACGUGCGAGGGUGUAAGAACUAUCAGUAAACCGUCUUUAGGUUAAGUUGAUUAGUGAAUAAUAAGGAGACUCUGAAUUGUAUCGUGAGAUAGGGUUUCUUAUUGAUCCCAUAUAAAGGGACAAAACUUCACUGCAGA